Molecule: ribosomal RNA, 448 nt
Filed under: uncultured bacterium
Lineage: Bacteria
Description: bacterial SSU rRNA
Rfam family: Bacterial small subunit ribosomal RNA
Source: RNAcentral
CCCAGACUCCUACGGGAGGCAGCAGUGGGGAAUAUUGCACAAUGGGGGGAACCCUGAUGCAGCGACGCCGCGUGAGGGAAGAAGGUUUUCGGAUUGUAAACCUCUGUCCUCUGUGACGAUAAUGACGGUAGCAGAGGAGGAAGCCACGGCUAACUACGUGCCAGCAGCCGCGGUAAUACGUAGGUGGCAAGCGUUGUCCGGAUUUACUGGGUGUAAAGGGCGUGCAGCCGGGACUGCAAGUCAGAUGUGAAAUCCGCGGGCUUAACCCGCGAACUGCAUUUGAAACUGCGGAUCUUGAGUACCGGAGAGGUUAUCGGAAUUCCUUGUGUAGCGGUGAAAUGCGUAGAUAUAAGGAAGAACACCAGUGGCGAAGGCGGAUAACUGGACGGCAACUGACGGUGAGGCGCGAAAGCGUGGGGAGCAAACAGGAUUAGAUACCCGCGUAUGA